This is a long non-coding RNA of Hyaena hyaena (striped hyena), 902 nucleotides long. RefSeq lists it as uncharacterized. Lineage: Eukaryota; Metazoa; Chordata; Mammalia; Carnivora; Hyaenidae. The record is from RefSeq and is a predicted model, not a curated record. The transcript is spliced from 3 exons.
GUGCCGAAUAGUACUCCCUUCUCUGGAUGUACCACGGUUUACCCAUUUACCUGCUGGAGGACACCUUGGUGGCUUUCAAGUUUUGGCAAUUUCAAGGAAUCAAGCUGCUCUAAACAUAUGGGCGCAGGUUUCGUGUGGACAGAGGUUUUCAUCCAGUCUGAGCAGACACGGAAGGGCUGCCGGGUCCUGCUUCCUUUACAUCGUUGAAAGUAUUCACAAUGGCUGCUUUGAAGUCUGUGAGCUACGUGUAACAUCUGGGCCCUCAGAGACAGCUCUUACUGACUGUGUUCACCGGGCGGGGCAUUAUGGAGGAUGGUAACAGCCCUGGAUGAUAUGGAUGCAACACCCUUUGUUGUUUUAUUAAAAUUGAGGUAUAAUCAGCACAUAGCGAGACGCCAGGCCUUCAGUGCACCUUCAGGCCCAUACACCUCUGGGACCCACAGCCUUGUUAGGAUAGAGAACAUUCUCUGAAUGACCCUUGAGUCUGUCCCACUCCAGAGAAGUCACUUUCCACCAUAGGUUAGAAUUGCCCAUUACGGAACUUUGCAGAAAUGGGAUUUUAUCAAGUUUGCUCUUCACGUCUGGCUUCCUGAGUUGAGCUACUGUUUUGCUGUUUUAAAGUAAGUUCCACACCCAGCACGGGUCCGGCUCCCGGCUUGAACUCACAACCCUGAGAUCAAGACUGGAGCUGAGAUCAAGAGUCAGAGGCUUAACUGCUUCUCCGGGUGAGCCACCCACGCACCCCUGAGCUACUGGUUUUGGAAUCUGUCUACAUUGUUGCAAGUACCAGUGGCUUGUUCUUUCUUACUGCUGAGUAGCAUCCCGCCACCAUUUAAAAAAUGAAGUUGAUGGGCACUUGGGUGGUUUGCAGUUUUGGGCUGUCACAGUGUAGCUUCUCUGGA